GUGCAUGCGCGUGCUAUACAUGCAAGUCGAGCGGACAGAAGGGAGCUUGCUCCCGGAUGUUAGCGGCGGACGGGUGAGUAACACGUGGGUAACCUGCCUGUAAGACUGGGAUAACUCCGGGAAACCGGAGCUAAUACCGGAUAGUUCCUUGAACCGCAUGGUUCAAGGAUGAAAGACGGUUUCGGCUGUCACUUACAGAUGGACCCGCGGCGCAUUAGCUAGUUGGUGAGGUAACGGCUCACCAAGGCGACGAUGCGUAGCCGACCUGAGAGGGUGAUCGGCCACACUGGGACUGAGACACGGCCCAGACUCCUACGGGAGGCAGCAGUAGGGAAUCUUCCGCAAUGGACGAAAGUCUGACGGAGCAACGCCGCGUGAGUGAUGAAGGUUUUCGGAUCGUAAAGCUCUGUUGUUAGGGAAGAACAAGUGCAAGAGUAACUGCUUGCACCUUGACGGUACCUAACCAGAAAGCCACGGCUAACUACGUGCCAGCAGCCGCGGUAAUACGUAGGUGGCAAGCGUUGUCCGGAAUUAUUGGGCGUAAAGGGCUCGCAGGCGGU
This 560-nucleotide ribosomal RNA is filed under the name Bacillus altitudinis. RNAcentral describes it as "bacterial SSU rRNA". It matches the Rfam family "Bacterial small subunit ribosomal RNA", at positions 33 to 579 of the family's 1533-position model. Lineage: Bacteria; Bacillati; Bacillota; Bacilli; Caryophanales; Bacillaceae. The record is from RNAcentral.